GGGGAGGGGAAAAGGGAAUUUGGAAAUGGGAACAGGGGAAGGAGGGAGGAUCUUCCCUGCUUUUCCCAUUCCCAUUUUUCCCGUUGUUUUCCCGUUGUUUUCCCAUUGUUUUCCCAUUGUAUUUCCUGUUGUUUUUCCCAUUUUUCCCAUUAUUUUUCCCUUUGUUUUUCCCUUUGUUUUCCCCAUUGUUUCCCCAUUGUUUUCCCCUUGUUUUUCCCAUUGUUUUCCCAUUGUUUUCCCAUUGUUUUCCUGUUGUUUUCCCAUUGUUUUCCCGUUGUUUUCCCAUUGUUUUCCCAUUGUUUUUCCCAUUUUUCCCGUUGUUUUUCCCAUUGUUUUUCCCAUUUUUCCCCAUUGUUUUCCCCAUUGUUUUUCCCCAUUUUUCCCAUUGUUUUUCCCCUUGUUUUUCCCAUUUUUCCCAUUUUUCCCAUUGUUUUUCCCCUUGUUUUUCCCAUUGUUUUUCCCAUUUUUCCCCUUGUUUUUCCCGCUCCAGCUGAACCUGAACUCCGUCCGGCGCUGUCUCCUCAUCUCCUACGACGCCGAUUCCCAGCUCCUGGAAUUCCGGCACUAGUGAGAGCCAAAUUUUUUCCCAAAUUCCCGGUUUUUUCCCCAAAUUCCUGGGUUUUUUCCCAAAUUCCCAUUUUUCCCCCCAAAUUCCCAUUUUUUUCCCCAAAUUCCCAUUUUUUUUCCCCCCCAAAUUCCCAUUUUUUCCCCCAAAUUCCUGGGUUUUUUCCCCAAAUUCUUGGGUUUUUUCCCCAAAUUCCCAUUUUUUCCCCCAAAUUCCCAUUUUUUCUCCCCCAAAUUCCCAUUUUUUUCCCCAAAUUCCCAUUUUUUCCCCCAAAUUCCCAUUUUUUUCCCCAAAUUCCCAUUUUUUCCCCCAAAUUCCCAUUUUUUUUUCCCCCCAAAUUCCCAUUUUUUUCCCCCAAAUUCCCAUUUUUUUCCCCAAAUUCCCAUUUUUUCCCAAAUUCCCAUUUUUUUUUCCCCCAAAUUCCCGUUUUUUUCCCAAAUUCCCGUUUUUUUCCCAAAUUCCCAUUUUUUUCCCCCAAAUUCCCAUUUUUUUCCCCAAAUUCCCAUUUUUUCCCAAAUUCCCAUUUUUCCCCCCAAUCCAGCAGUGUCCAGGUGGUGCCCGUGGGGCUCAGCCGGGGGAUCCGGAAAAUUCUCCAGGAGAAAUUCCCAGACCUGGGCAGGAUGGACGACGUCAGCGAGCUCCUGACGGGGUACGGGGACACCUGGGGACACCUGGGGACACCUGGGGACACCUGGGGACACCUGGGGAUACCUGGGGACACCAAAAACACACCUGGGGACACCUGAGGACACACCUGGGGACACCUGGGGACACCUGGGGACACCUGGGGACAUCUGGGGACAUCUGGGGACAUCUGGGGACACCUGGGGACACCUGGGACAGCUGGGACACACCUGGGGACACCUGGGGACAUCUGGGGAUGCUGUCCCUA
RNAcentral lists this long non-coding RNA (1457 nucleotides) under Cyanistes caeruleus (blue tit). RNAcentral's name for it is "lncRNA (ENSCCEG00000003758.1)". The record is from RNAcentral. Lineage: Eukaryota; Metazoa; Chordata; Aves; Passeriformes; Paridae.